GCGGGAGUAACUCAGUGGUAGAGUGCCACCUUGCCAAGGUGGACGUCGAGGGUUCAAAUCCCUUCUCCCGCUCUA
RNAcentral lists this transfer RNA (75 nucleotides) under Myxococcales bacterium 68-20. Its description in RNAcentral is "tRNA-Gly". It matches the Rfam family "tRNA". Rfam says of the family: Transfer RNA (tRNA) molecules are approximately 80 nucleotides in length. Lineage: Bacteria; Pseudomonadati; Myxococcota; Myxococcia; Myxococcales. The record is from RNAcentral.